AUUGAACGCUGGCGGCAGGCCUAACACAUGCAAGUCGAGCGGAUGAAGGGAGCUUGCUCCUGGAUUCAGCGGCGGACGGGUGAGUAAUGCCUAGGAAUCUGCCUGGUAGUGGGGGAUAACGUCCGGAAACGGGCGCUAAUACCGCAUACGUCCUGAGGGAGAAAGUGGGGGAUCUUCGGACCUCACGCUAUCAGAUGAGCCUAGGUCGGAUUAGCUAGUUGGUGGGGUAAAGGCCUACCAAGGCGACGAUCCGUAACUGGUCUGAGAGGAUGAUCAGGCACACUGGAACUGAGACACGGUCCUGACUCCUACGGGAGGCGGCAGUGGGGAAUAUUGGACAAUGGGCGAAAGCCUGAUCCAGGCAUGCCGCGUGUGUGAAGAAGGUCUUCGGAUUGUAAAGCACUUUAAGUUGGGAGGAAGGGCGGUAAGUUAAUACCUUGCUGUUUUGACGUUACCAACAGAAUAAGCACCGGCUAACUUCGUG
Molecule: ribosomal RNA, 484 nt
Filed under: uncultured bacterium
Lineage: Bacteria
Description: partial 16S ribosomal RNA
Rfam family: Bacterial small subunit ribosomal RNA
Source: RNAcentral